RNAcentral lists this small RNA (1215 nucleotides) under Vigna angularis var. angularis. Its description in RNAcentral is "Non-protein coding transcript". Lineage: Eukaryota; Viridiplantae; Streptophyta; Magnoliopsida; Fabales; Fabaceae. The record is from RNAcentral.
CUCCAUUGCAUCAUUGAUUCUGUGAAGCUUCUCGUAUCUAUUUUUCUUUUGCUUUCUGUUUCUUUUUCAGUCUCGUCUUUGCCGUAACGUUAUAUAUAGCUUCUUCUUUUUUUGUUUUCUAAACUCUCAAUUUGAUGCAUCAUUGCUGAUCAGUUUCUAUGCCUAUGAUAACCUGUACAUUGUUUGGUUUAGUAGAGGAAGAAAGCCAAAGGUUGUUAGCAUGGGAUAGACCACACAACUUCGUUAUUGGUCUAUCUGUUGGCAACGGAGAAUUUUGGGAUGAAACUUGAAUUUGUUGGAAUUCCGAUCUAAUGUGCUUCUUGCGUUCCUGAAAACCUCCAUCUUCAACUUGCUCAUGGACAAGUGAUUGUUGAGCAAGUUGAGAAUGGAAGUUCUCCGAGACGUUAGUCCUUCCUUUAGUUGACUUGUAUAGGUGGAUCGGAUGAAACAAUUUUCAGUGCAAAGAUCUGUUGAACAAAUAGCAAAAGACGGAUGUGAGAUAGGUCAUUGGAAAUUCUCGAACAUCACAUGGUAUUUAAGUAUUUUUUGGUAAGUUUUACCAGUGAAACGAAAAUAGCGGCAUGCAAGGUGAAUUGAAUUCCUAUUUCUGAAGUGUACAGCAGCUUAAAUCAGAGGCCAAGCUUAUUGUAUCUGUAAAUUCAAGGAAAAUAUUUUGUCAUCCACAAGUGUCUAUAUGCUGAAGAAAGGUUGGAAACUUUGAAGGGAGUGGUCAGCAAUGACGUUUAUAAAUUUUUGGCACCACGUUGUCUUGAAAAAAACAGUUUGAAGUAUUCCUGACAAAGAACGUGUCAAAAAGGAGCUUAUUCUUACCUGCUGACAUAUGCGAUCAUUCUGUAACUGCCCUUUUUGUCUGAAUUCUCUUGAAGUACACGUGGUUCUGCGAUAAUGCACGGAUUAACCACUUGCUACUGAAUCGUGGCAAAAGAUGGUGGGGGGAUCUCUUGGAUGAUUUGGAAAAUCCCUCAAGAAGUGCUUCACGACAUAGGGUAAUUUCCUAAAGGCCAAAGAGUUCUUCCUGCUGUCUUUGACAUAUAGGAAGAGUAACAUAAAUUUGACGAAAACGGCUUAAAAGUAAUGGACAUGAACAAAAAAUUAGGCAAAGUCCCAAUUUAAUAGUUUUAACAUUACUAUAGAAAUUCACAUAUCCAAUAAACAAAAACAAUUCACCUAAAGAAAGCAUAUAACAAAUAGCAU